GGGCACCUGAGGUCAUCCCCUAUUUUUGUUGGCAUUCGUGUUGGUAAGUUUUGUUUUUGUUUUCUAUGUUAUGUUUUGUGUACUGUUGUUUGUCUUUGUCUUUUUUACUAUGUCGUAGUCAAUUUAUUUUCGAUUUAUGAGUGUGUAUGUCCCUCUUGUAUCUUUCGCCCCUCUUUUAUUACUAACAGCUUCAUCUGCUAUAGUAGUCAUACUAAUGUUUAGCUGUUUCAUGAAGAU
Molecule: long non-coding RNA, 237 nt
Filed under: Mytilus galloprovincialis (Mediterranean mussel)
Lineage: Eukaryota; Metazoa; Mollusca; Bivalvia; Mytilida; Mytilidae
Source: RNAcentral